Molecule: ribosomal RNA, 234 nt
Filed under: Triticum aestivum (bread wheat)
Lineage: Eukaryota; Viridiplantae; Streptophyta; Magnoliopsida; Poales; Poaceae
Description: partial small subunit ribosomal RNA
Source: RNAcentral
AUAAUUAGCUUGUCAUUUGACUAAACCUACUGGGAAUUUUCCUUUGGCUCUGAGCUGAUCCCUAUUCUUUCUUCUCACCUCCAUCGGAUGGCCAAGCGAGUACAGCCGGAAUGCACCUAUGAGAACCGUGGAAGGCGCCAUCGUGAGGCUUGGCUUCGCUUUGUGCAUUCCCUUCUUCGGGCUGUUCAGGUAAGAUUUCACAUGACCAAAUAGUAGGCUCGGCAUUUUCUUUAG